Molecule: non-coding RNA, 387 nt
Organism: Nicotiana tabacum (common tobacco)
Lineage: Eukaryota; Viridiplantae; Streptophyta; Magnoliopsida; Solanales; Solanaceae
Source: RefSeq, a predicted model, not a curated record
AUGUUUGAAAGAUAAUAAAACAAAGAGAGGGUUCGAAAGGAGUGAUGGGUGUGGCUCCAAUUCCUACACGAACAUCAUCCUCAAAUUUGCCCAAAACCAAUUUACUUAAUCACAAAGCGUACCAUAGAAAGCACAUUCAUUAUCAAGAACACCCAAUUGGAGUAACAGUUAAUUCAAAAUUCCAAUGGAGCUAUGCAGAGUACCAGCUGCUACUACUGCAUUUGCAUGGACAAAUUCCAUCUCCUCUACCCUUCAACUCCCUCAAAUUCUCUUUGUAGGAGGUGGGUCUAAAAGAUUCAGAAUUUGGUGUGUGAAUGGAAACAUUGAGUCUCAGAAGGAAAGUCAGAUGGUUGUAUCAGUUACUGGAGCUACUGGAUUUGUUGGGAA